GACAGAGGGUGCAAACGUUGUUCGGAAUUACUGGGCGUAAAGCGCGUGUAGGCUGCUCCGCAAGUCGGAUGUGAAAGCCCUGGGCUCAACCCAGGAAGUGCAUUCGAAACUGCAGAGCUGGAGUCCUGGAGAGGAAGGCGGAAUUCUCGGUGUAGAGGUGAAAUUCGUAGAUAUCGAGAGGAACACCGGUGGCGAAGGCGGCCUUCUGGACAGUGACUGACGCUGAGACGCGAAAGCGUGGGGAGCGAACAGG
RNAcentral lists this ribosomal RNA (253 nucleotides) under uncultured bacterium. RNAcentral describes it as "partial 16S ribosomal RNA". It matches the Rfam family "Bacterial small subunit ribosomal RNA", at positions 524 to 776 of the family's 1533-position model. The record is from RNAcentral.